GACGAGCGCUGGCGGCGUGCCUAACACAUGCAAGUCGAACGAAGCAUAGCAAUAUGCUUAGUGGCGGACGGGUGAGUAACGCGUGAACAAUCUGCCCUGUACAAAGGAAUAGCCUCGGGAAACCGGGAUUAAAACCGUAUGACACUUUAGUAUCGCAUGAUAAGAAAGUCAAAUCGAAUAGAGGUAUGGGAUGAGUUCGCGUCUGAUUAGCUGGUUGGCGGGGUAACGGCCCACCAAGGCGACGAUCAGUAGCCGGCCUGAGAGGGUGAACGGCCACACUGGAACUGAGACACGGUCCAGACUCCUACGGGAGGCAGCAGUGGGGAAUAUUGCACAAUGGAGGGAACUCUGAUGCAGCGACGCCGCGUGAGUGAAGAAGGUCUUCGGAUCGUAAAACUCUGUCCUUGGUGAAGAAAAGGACGGUAGCCAAGGAGGAAGCCCCGGCUAACUACGUG
RNAcentral lists this ribosomal RNA (455 nucleotides) under uncultured bacterium. Its description in RNAcentral is "bacterial SSU rRNA". It matches the Rfam family "Bacterial small subunit ribosomal RNA", at positions 28 to 507 of the family's 1533-position model. The record is from RNAcentral.